Molecule: non-coding RNA, 96 nt
Organism: Caerostris extrusa
Lineage: Eukaryota; Metazoa; Arthropoda; Arachnida; Araneae; Araneidae
Source: the annotation of a GenBank genome assembly
AACGGCCAUACCAUGCUGAAUAUACCGGUUCUCGUUAGAUCAUUGGGCGCGGUCAGUACUUCGGUGGGUGACCACCUGGGAACACUGCGUGUCGUU